Molecule: ribosomal RNA, 1553 nt
Filed under: Thrichomys apereoides (common punare)
Lineage: Eukaryota; Metazoa; Chordata; Mammalia; Rodentia; Echimyidae
Description: 16S ribosomal RNA
Rfam family: Bacterial large subunit ribosomal RNA
Source: RNAcentral
ACUAAUCCUAGCCUGACAACCGCACAACCCAACUACAAUACAACAAUAAAACAAAACAUUUAAUUUUUAAAGUAUAGGAGAUAGAAAUUUAUAUAAGCGCUAUAGAGAUAGUACCGCAAGGGAAAGAUGAAAGAAGAAUAAAAGUACCAAAAAGCAUAGAUUACCCCUAGUACCUUUUGCAUAAUGAAUUAGCUAGAAAAUUCUGACAAAAAGAUCUUAAGUCAAAACCCCCGAAACCAAGCGAGCUACUUUUAAACAGCUAAAAUGAGCAAACUCGUCUAUGUAGCAAAAUAGUGAGAAGAUUUAAAAGUAGAGGUGAAAAGCCUACCGAGCUUGGAGAUAGCUGGUUAUCCAAAUAUGAAUUUUAGUUCAACUUUAAGUUUUCCUAAAAACUUAAAAUUCUAAUGAAAACUUAAAUGUUAUUUUAAGGAGGGACAGCUCCUUAAACAAGGAUACAUCCUUAAGCAGAGGGUAAAAAUUAUAACCACCAUAGUAGGCCUAAAAGCAGCCAUCAAUUAAGAAAGCGUUCAAGCUCAACAAAACCACAAUACAUUAUUCCAAAAGCACAUAACUAACCCCUGCAAAGACAUUGGAUUAAUCUAUAAAAGCAUAGAAGCAACACUGUUAAUACUAGUAAUCAGAAAUAUUUCUCCUUGCACAAGCCUAAGUUAAACAACUUUAACCAAUUAGCAGUUUUAUAAAAAAUUCACUUCCCAAGUCAAUUAUUACAAAAACUGUUAACCCAACCCAGGAGUGCAACAAAGGAAAGACUAAAAUAAAAAAAAGGAACUCGGCAAACACAAACCCCGCCUGUUUACCAAAAACAUCACCUCUAGCAUACCAAGUAUUAGAGGCUCUGCCUGCCCAGUGACAAUUAACGUUCAACGGCCGCGGUAUCCUGACCGUGCAAAGGUAGCAUAAUCACUUGUUCUUUAAAUAAGGACUAGCAUGAAGGGCUUGACGAGGGUUUAACUGUCUCUUUUUUAUAGUCAAUGAAACUGACCUUCCCGUGAAGAGGCGGGGAUUAAAAAACAAGACGAGAAGACCCUAUGGAGCUUAAAUUAAUUAGCUCACUUAUACUACUCUUAAUCAACAAGAGAUAAAAAACAAACUAUGAGCUAAUAAUUUUGGUUGGGGUGACCUCGGAGCAAAAACAAACCUCCGAAUGAUUCUAACUUAGACCUACAAGUCAAAGACUCAGUCAUAAAUUGACCCAGAAACUAUCUGAUCAAUGAACCAAGUUACCCUAGGGAUAACAGCGCAAUCCUAUUCUAGAGUCCAUAUCGACAAUAGGGUUUACGACCUCGAUGUUGGAUCAGGACCCCCAAAUGGUGCAACCGCUAUUAAAGGUUCGUUUGUUCAACGAUUAAAGUCCUACGUGAUCUGAGUUCAGACCGGAGCAAUCCAGGUCGGUUUCUAUCUAUUAAACUAUUUCUCCCAGUACGAAAGGACAAGAGAAAUUAGGCCAAUGGUGCAACCAUGCCUUGGUAGGAAAAGAAUGAUAUUAUAUCAACUCCUUAGCUACCAAACAGCACAACCCGAGAUAAGGGUUU